UUUCUCCGCCGGCGACCGGCGCACGGGUGAGUAACACGUAUGCAACCUGCCCCUGUCAGGGGGACAACCCGCCGAAAGGCGGGCUACACCCGCGUACAUGCCACCGGGGCAUCCCGGAGGCAGGAAAGGCUUCGGCCGGACAGGGAUGGGCAUGCGGCGCAUUAGGCAGUAGGCGGGGUAACGGCCCACCUAACCGACGAUGCGUAGGGGUUCUGAGAGGAAGGUCCCCCACACUGGUACUGAGACACGGACCAGACUCCUACGGAAGGCAGCAG
RNAcentral lists this ribosomal RNA (275 nucleotides) under uncultured bacterium. Its description in RNAcentral is "partial 16S ribosomal RNA". It matches the Rfam family "Bacterial small subunit ribosomal RNA", at positions 80 to 354 of the family's 1533-position model. The record is from RNAcentral.